This 253-nucleotide ribosomal RNA is filed under the name uncultured bacterium. RNAcentral describes it as "partial 16S ribosomal RNA". It matches the Rfam family "Bacterial small subunit ribosomal RNA", at positions 524 to 776 of the family's 1533-position model. The record is from RNAcentral.
AACGUAGGAGACAAACGUUAUCCGGAGUUACUGGGCGUAAAGGGCGUGUAGGCGGUUUGUUAAGUUUGGCGUGAAAGCUCUCGGCUAAACCGGGAGAGGUCGUUGGAUACUGGCAAACUAGAGGACGGUAGAGGCGUGUGGAAUUCCGGGUGUAGUGGUGAAAUGCGUAGAGAUCCGGAGGAACACCAGUGGCGAAGGCGACACGGUGGGCCGUACCUGACGCUAAAGCGCGACAGCAUGGGGAGCAAACGGG